UUGCAAACUUGGUUGCUAGCUCAGUGUGGUGUUCCAGAAGCAAGGGGAACAGAUUUGCUAAAUUAAACAUAGUCAUCAAACUAUAUUAGCCUUAGAAAUCGAAUCAUAGAAUUUAAGGGUUGGA
This 124-nucleotide small nucleolar RNA is filed under the name Acanthisitta chloris (rifleman). Lineage: Eukaryota; Metazoa; Chordata; Aves; Passeriformes; Acanthisittidae. The record is from RNAcentral.